CUUGUUUUGCAACUUUUGGUAAAACCAUUUAUGCUUUUACAGAGUACCUAACAAGACGAAACACUGCCAAUUCUACCAGUUUGUGAAAUUAUAAUCAAGCCCCUGGUGCAGUACACGUCAUGGAGAUGUCUUGACAUUCCUUAGUCCCGUGCCUUGGGGGUAAUCAAUGCAGUGUUAGAAGUUAAAUUUGAUCUCAAUUGUGACGAUAAUGUUAAAAAUAUUUUACAUACAUUAUUCCCUUAACGCAUUUAUGGUCAAAUAACAUGAUCGAGUCAUAACAAUAACAAGAUAUUUGCCUACCCCAUGUUUUCAACAAGUGUUAAAAAUGUAAAUGUAUUUAAAGAGCCAUUGUAUUAAAAAAAAAAAAAAAGCAUUUACAUAAGAAAACAUUAUGUGUAUGUUUUAUGAUACAGGCAACUUUAUCCUAUGACACAACCAUCAAUACUUCAGUAUGAAGCAUCUUUCUCUUCUGUGAUUAAACAUUUCUUUCUGCAGUAAAUAACUUUUUUAUGAAAUUGAUAUAGUCAACCGUAAGUGCCAUGUGCGAAUUACAAAUACCGCUCUCAUUAUCAAUAAGAGAAACUUAUUGCCAGAAUGUUGCCUCUAGGAAACCUGGCACUGAUUGACUAGAGCCCAAGCACAUUCUUUCACCAACCCCGUGUUUAGGCAGCUGUCAGAAAGCAUUGAACAGCAGUCAACAUAAAAUGGAGUGUAUCUGUAAUGGUACAUGCCAAUCUUACACUAUUCAGGUGGCAACACCAUUUUAACGUUUGCUUCUAGAAAGAAAGGGUAAUGUCACUUUAAGAUAACUCCUCAAACUCUCAUGACGUAAAUCACAUUUCUAAUAACUUUGGUGGGGUGUAGAAUGCAAUUUUUUAUGGCAAGAAUCUCUAAAAUCAGUUUGAGCCCUUUCAUGCAAUCUAGGAACGUACAACAGGUAUUUCACAAAUGUUGCCUAUGCCUGGAUGAUAUUGUCACUAGAUAUAUUAGCGUUACAAAGCUUUCCAUAGUUUGAGGUAAUUGAAUGCAACACAAAUCUAACUACACCUGUAUUGGAGCUUUACUCAAUACCUACACAGGAUUGGCCAAAGUGAUCAUUUCUACCUCUAACUUCUAGUCUUACACAUAUUAAAUAUGUCGUCCUGAAAAGUCUGUGCUCCCAGUGAAAAUGGUUUAAGUGCAGCAGGAUGUUAAAGGCACUUGAUUACAAAGUUAUUUUUUAAAUUGCUUGUAGCAAUAUAAACCACCCAUGGUGGACGCGUGGGAGAUCAGUCUUCGAAAAUAUGCCAGGCAUAUGUUUUUAGAACAAAAACGGCAUUUUCCUUAAAAAGGUUCCUUAGAAAUCAAAAUUACAAGAAAAAAAGAAAAAAAAGAAAAAGUUUCGGCACCAACAGAGUGUGUUUCCCCAAUUUUCCUCAAGUCAGAUAUGCCGUGUUAAAUAUUCUCCAGUAUCCAGUCGUUGUUUUGUGCUACAUUUAAUGCUAGGUUUCCUUCAGAAUCGUCUCUCACUCCCUUGUGAAGGUCACCAGCUUCUUGAUAGUAUUCCUCCUCUUCAUCAAAGAAUCCAUUUUCCAUGGCGUAGGUGCAGUCUGCACUGGAAGCUGCCUGGCACGCACCUUUAUAUUCCUGGAUGGACUCAUAUAGGGAAUAAAGCUGGCACAGGAGGGACAUAUCCAGCUGCCUAAGCCCGACC
Non-coding RNA from Pelobates cultripes (western spadefoot toad), 1693 nucleotides. NCBI's taxonomy places the organism in Eukaryota, Metazoa, Chordata, Amphibia, Anura, Pelobatidae. The record is from the annotation of a GenBank genome assembly.